RNAcentral lists this ribosomal RNA (116 nucleotides) under Petromyzon marinus (sea lamprey). The record is from RNAcentral. Lineage: Eukaryota; Metazoa; Chordata; Hyperoartia; Petromyzontiformes; Petromyzontidae.
CCAAUAAGCAAAGUCUCCCAGAAUGCACCCGAUCUCGUCAGAUGUCGGAAACUAAGCAGGGGUUGAGCCUGGACAGUGCUUGGAUGGGCCACCAACACGCGCGAAUCACGUGUUGU